UACAGAGGGGGCAAGCGUUGUUCGGAAUUACUGGGCGUAAAGGGCGCGUAGGCGGCCUCUUAAGUCGAACGUGAAAUCCCUGGGCUCAACCCAGGAACUGCGUCCGAGACUGAAAGGCUCGAAUCCGGGAGAGGGAUGUGGAAUUCCAGGUGUAGCGGUGAAAUGCGUAGAUAUCUGGAGGAACAUCGGUGGCGAAGGCGGCAUCCUGGACCGGUAUUGACGCUGAGGCGCGAAAGCCAGGGGAGCAAACGGGAUUAGAAACCCCCGUAGUCC
RNAcentral lists this ribosomal RNA (273 nucleotides) under uncultured bacterium. Its description in RNAcentral is "partial 16S ribosomal RNA". It matches the Rfam family "Bacterial small subunit ribosomal RNA", at positions 524 to 796 of the family's 1533-position model. The record is from RNAcentral.